This 496-nucleotide ribosomal RNA is filed under the name uncultured bacterium. Its description in RNAcentral is "partial 16S ribosomal RNA". It matches the Rfam family "Bacterial small subunit ribosomal RNA", at positions 28 to 506 of the family's 1533-position model. The record is from RNAcentral.
GAUGAACGCUGGCGGCGUGCCUAAUACAUGCAAGUCGAGCGAACAGAUGAGGAGCUUGCUCCUCUGACGUUAGCGGCGGACGGGUGAGUAACACGUGGAUAACCUACCUAUAAGACUGGGAUAACUUCGGGAAACCGGAGCUAAUACCGGAUAAUAUAUUGAACCGCAUGGUUCAAUAGUGAAAGACGGUUUUGCUGUCACUUAUAGAUGGAUCCGCGCCGCAUUAGCUAGUUGGUAAGGUAACGGCUUACCAAGGCAACGAUGCGUAGCCGACCUGAGAGGGGGAUAGGCCACACUGGAACUGAGACACGGUCCAGACCCCUACGGGAGGCAGCAGGAGGGAAUCUGCCGCAAUGGGCGAAAGCCUGACGGAGCAACGCCGCGUGAGUGAGGAAGGUCUUCGGAUCGUAAAACUCUGUGAUUAGGGAAGAACAAAUGUGUAAGUAACUAUGCACGUCUGGACGGUACCUAAUCAGAAAGCCACGGCUAACUACGU